Molecule: ribosomal RNA, 253 nt
Filed under: uncultured bacterium
Lineage: Bacteria
Description: partial 16S ribosomal RNA
Rfam family: Bacterial small subunit ribosomal RNA
Source: RNAcentral
UUCGUAGGGUGCAAGCGUUAAUCGGAAUUACUGGGCGUAAAGCGUGCGCAGGCGGCUUUGCAAGACAGAUGUGAAAUCCCCGGGCUUAACCUGGGAACUGCAUUUGUGACUGCAUGGCUGGAGUGCGGCAGAGGGGGAUGGAAUUCCGCGUGUAGCAGUGAAAUGCGUAGAUAUGCGGAGGAACACCGAUGGCGAAGGCAAUCCCCUGGGCCUGCACUGACGCUCAUGCACGAAAGCGUGGGGAGCAAACAGG